CAAAACCCGUAGUAAGCCUUACCAACCCGAAAAACCAGAUAUACAAUUAUCAAAAUAUAAAGUAGUCAUAAUUGUCUUGCAUAAUAAAUCAUCAUAUUACCAACAUGAGUCAAAAAUCUUUACAUAAAUUUUAAAAUUUCCUACUGCGGAUACUCUAGAGUAAUAAUGACAAGUAUAGAAGUACAAGAUAAUUACAAAAGUCCGAAGAAGCAGAAGUCGGACUGUCAAAUGUGUGAUGGCGAAGAAGGUCUUUAACUGCCACCUGAAAAAAAAUUUACAACUGAGACUGUCAGUCUCGAGAGUGAGUCAAAAUCAAAUAAUCUAAGGACUAUUGCAACCUUCACAUGAUAUAUUAAUUAUUCAAAACAAUAUACCAAUUUCUGAAUAUAAUUGCAAUCAUAAUAUAAAAUCAUACACCGUAAUAAUAAAAUGAUAAAAGGAGAGAGUAUAAAUAAAUAAAGAUAUUUUUACUUUCACGGGACGUGUGGCUAAUUAGAACCCUAACCCCAAAUUCUAACAGCCAUUUUGGCUCUCUUAAUCCAAUAAGACUGGCGCCCCGAGAGCAAUGCUCGACUAGGGACCUUACCUCCAGUCUGGUCACUUAAGUAUCCAAAUAAGAAAUCUAGUAGCCAUUCGGCUCUCUUAAUCCAAUAAGACUGGCGCCCCGAGAGCAAUGCUCGACCAGGGACCUUACCUCCAGUCUGGUCACUUAAAUAUCCAAAUAAGCCGGCGCCCCGAGAGCAAUGCUCGACCAGGGACCUUACCUCCGGCAAUUUACACAAAUCAGCCCAGAGAGCCAUGCUCGACCAGGGCAAACCCAUAAAUAUCUUAUUACAUGUCCAUGAUCAUUACCGGUGUGCACGCGGUCCUGAUAUAACCCAUCAGGCGGCAUGUUCUACAAGCCACAUUUCCCAAUUCGCAAUCAUCACAUAUAAUAAAUAUCAUUAUCUGAUGAACUCAACCAACACAUAUCGAAAUAAAGAUUAAAGAUUUAAGGUAAAACAACGUGCAAUUUGUGAGGGGAAAAAUAAUAACGUUUAUCUUAUUAUAACAUACUAAUAAUAAUAUUUAUAUUAUUUCAAAUAUUAAUAAUCAAGUGAAAUCAUUUAUUUUGCGAUACUAAUAAUCAUAUUAAGCACAAAUUCUAAAUAGCAUAUUAAAAUCAGACUAGCAAUAGCGCAAAGAUUAAAUGACUUUAACUCACAGAUUUGAUGCGUUCCACAGUCCGCUCCUACGCCUCGGGUGGAGCUGGCAGGAAGGCUGAAUUAUCUAAUAACAAAAGACAUACAAUUAAUAGACAUUCGAAAAUUUUUCCUAGACUUAGACCCUAAGGUCGACUGCCUAGAAUUAAAUUGGACUCGAGGAUUCUGCCGAAAAUUUGACAGAACCUCCC
RNAcentral lists this long non-coding RNA (1393 nucleotides) under Ricinus communis (castor bean). RNAcentral's name for it is "long non-coding RNA (RCOM_LNC000806)". The record is from RNAcentral. Lineage: Eukaryota; Viridiplantae; Streptophyta; Magnoliopsida; Malpighiales; Euphorbiaceae.